Molecule: long non-coding RNA, 504 nt
Filed under: Elaeis guineensis (African oil palm)
Lineage: Eukaryota; Viridiplantae; Streptophyta; Magnoliopsida; Arecales; Arecaceae
Description: long non-coding RNA (EGUI_LNC082773)
Source: RNAcentral
CUCCUGCCUUUAGUCAAAGGUUCAUACUUUUACUGAUAUUUGUUUUGAUUUUUCUUUUGAAAAUUCUAUUUUUCCCGUGGGGCUGGCAACGAAGAAGAGGUGGAUAAGACGGCGUCAUCUCCUGAUGGGUAGAUAGAUUACCCCUGGCCCUGGCGGGGAGCUCAACUGGUUGGGAGAGAGAAAAACGAGGAGGGCGAACGUGGGAUGAUCGGAUCGGAGCGCGAUCACGUGGCUCGACCGCGUUGCGUCCCGGCCCACGCUACUGGAACGUGCAUGCACGUUGUAUCCCAGCCCCAGGUCUUUCGCGAUGGAUUCCUUCCAUAUGCCCCGCGCCUCAUCUCCACCGUCCAUCAUUUUCUCUUCGUGUCGGAUUUGAUCUGGGCCAUUGAUUCGGGUGGACCCCGCGGGCGCACAUGGAGGAUGCGGUGUGGUCGCCCUCCGCUCGAGCACGACCACCCUCUCCGGCGCAAGGGAUGAUAAUUUUGUAGCUGGCUUUAUUCCCUU